GACGAACGCUGGCGGCGUGCCUAAUACAUGCAAGUCGAGCGGACCGACGGGAGCUUGCUCCCUUAGGUCAGCGGCGGACGGGUGAGUAACACGUGGGUAACCUGCCUGUAAGACUGGGAUAACUCCGGGAAACCGGGGCUAAUACCGGAUGCUUGAUUGAACCGCAUGGUUCAAUCAUAAAAGGUGGCUUUCAGCUACCACUUACAGAUGGACCCGCGGCGCAUUAGCUAGUUGGUGAGGUAACGGCUCACCAAGGCGACGAUGCGUAGCCGACCUGAGAGGGUGAUCGGCCACACUGGGACUGAGACACGGCCCAGACUCCUACGGGAGGCAGCAGUAGGGAAUCUUCCGCAAUGGACGAAAGUCUGACGGAGCAACGCCGCGUGAGUGAUGAAGGUUUUCGGAUCGUAAAACUCUGUUGUUAGGGAAGAACAAGUACCGUUCGAAUAGGGCGGCACCUUGACGGUACCUAACCAGAAAGCCACGGCUAACUACGUGCCAGCAGCCGCGGUAAUACGUAGGUGGCAAGCGUUGUCCGGAAUUAUUGGGCGUAAAGCGCGCGCAGGCGGUUUCUUAAGUCUGAUGUGAAAGCCCCCGGCUCAACCGGGGAGGGUCAUUGGAAACUGGGGAACUUGAGUGCAGAAGAGGAGAGUGGAAUUCCACGUGUAGCGGUGAAAUGCGUAGAGAUGUGGAGGAACACCAGUGGCGAAGGCACUCUCUGGUCUGUACUGACGCUGAGG
RNAcentral lists this ribosomal RNA (740 nucleotides) under uncultured Bacillus sp. RNAcentral's name for it is "bacterial SSU rRNA". It matches the Rfam family "Bacterial small subunit ribosomal RNA", at positions 28 to 751 of the family's 1533-position model. The record is from RNAcentral. Lineage: Bacteria; Bacillati; Bacillota; Bacilli; Caryophanales; Bacillaceae.